UGUUGAAAAAUUAGGGGAUGAGCUGUGGGUAGGGGUGAAAGGCUAAACAAACUUGGAAAUAGCUGGUUCUCUCCGAAAACUAUUUAGGUAGUGCCUCAAGUAUCACCAUCGGGGGUAGAGCACUGUUAUGGCUAGGGGGUCAUUGCGACUUACCAACCCAUUGCAAACUCCGAAUACCGAUGAGUGCGAGCUUGGGAGACAGACGUCGGGUGCUAACGUCCGGCGUCAAGAGGGAAACAACCCAGACCGCCAGCUAA
RNAcentral lists this ribosomal RNA (257 nucleotides) under Emiliania huxleyi. RNAcentral describes it as "partial Bacterial large subunit ribosomal RNA". It matches the Rfam family "Bacterial large subunit ribosomal RNA", at positions 787 to 1042 of the family's 2925-position model. Lineage: Eukaryota; Haptophyta; Isochrysidales; Noelaerhabdaceae. The record is from RNAcentral.